GGGCACUUUCGGGUGUCAGCGGCGGACGGGUGAGUAACGCGUGGGAACGUGCCCUCUGGUUCGGAAUAACUCAGGGAAACUUGAGCUAAUACCGGAUACGCCCUUUUGGGGAAAGGCUUGCUGCCGGAGGAUCGGCCCGCGUCUGAUUAGCUAGUUGGUGAGGUAACGGCUCACCAAGGCGACGAUCAGUAGCUGGUCUGAGAGGAUGAUCAGCCACACUGGGACUGAGACACGGCCCAGACUCCUACGGGAGGCAGCAGUGGGGAAUAUUGGACAAUGGGCGCAAGCCUGAUCCAGCCAUGCCGCGUGAGUGAUGAAGGCCUUAGGGUUGUAAAGCUCUUUUAUCCGGGACGAUAAUGACGGUACCGGAGGAAUAAGCCCCGGCUAACUUCGUGCCAGCAGCCGCGGUAAUA
This 413-nucleotide ribosomal RNA is filed under the name bacterium AER37A. RNAcentral describes it as "bacterial SSU rRNA". It matches the Rfam family "Bacterial small subunit ribosomal RNA", at positions 69 to 525 of the family's 1533-position model. The record is from RNAcentral.